AUGCCGCGUGUGUGAAGAAGGCCUUCGGGUUGUAAAGCCCUUUCGACGGGGAAGAUGAUGACGGUACCCGUAGAAGAAGCCCCGGCUAACUUCGUGCCAGCAGCCGCGGUAAUACGAAGGGGGCUAGCGUUGUUCGGAAUUACUGGGCGUAAAGGGCGCGUAGGCGGACUGUCCAGUCAGGGGUGAAAUCCCGGGGCUUAACCUCGGAACUGCCUUUGAUACUGACAGUCUAGAGUCUGUGAGAGGAUGACGGAAUACCCAGUGUAGAGGUGAA
This 274-nucleotide ribosomal RNA is filed under the name Cyclophora tenuis. RNAcentral describes it as "partial Bacterial small subunit ribosomal RNA". It matches the Rfam family "Bacterial small subunit ribosomal RNA", at positions 394 to 685 of the family's 1533-position model. Lineage: Eukaryota; Bacillariophyta; Fragilariophyceae; Cyclophorales; Cyclophoraceae. The record is from RNAcentral.